UAAAAACACAGGUCCGUGCGAAGUCGCAAGACGAUGUAUACGGACUGACUCCUGCCCGGUGCUGGAAGGUUAAGAGGACCUGUUAGCCCCCUCGGGGGCGAAGCGGAGAAUUUAAGCCCCAGUAAACGGCGGUGGUAACUAUAACCAUCCUAAGGUAGCGAAAUUCCUUGUCGGGUAAGUUCCGACCUGCACGAAUGGAGUAACGACUUCCCCGCUGUCUCAACCAUAAACUCGGCGAAAUUGCACUACGAGUAAAGAUGCUCGUUACGCGCAGCAGGACGGAAAGACCCCGAGACCUUUACUAUAGUUUGGUAUUGGUGUUCGGUGUGGCUUGUGUAGGAUAGGUGGGAGACUGUGAAGCCCGGACGCCAGUUCGGGUGGAGUCAUCGUUGAAAUACCACUCUGGUCACUCUGGACAUCUAACUUCGGCCCGUAAUCCGGGUCAGGGACAGUGCCUGAUGGGUAGUUUAACUGGGGCGGUUGCCUCCUAAAGAGUAACGGAGGCGCCCAAAGGUUCC
Molecule: ribosomal RNA, 518 nt
Filed under: Enterococcus faecium
Lineage: Bacteria; Bacillati; Bacillota; Bacilli; Lactobacillales; Enterococcaceae
Description: partial 23S ribosomal RNA
Rfam family: Bacterial large subunit ribosomal RNA
Source: RNAcentral